Molecule: ribosomal RNA, 397 nt
Filed under: uncultured bacterium
Lineage: Bacteria
Description: partial 16S ribosomal RNA
Rfam family: Bacterial small subunit ribosomal RNA
Source: RNAcentral
AUACGUAGGGGGCGAGCGUUGUCCGGAAUGAUUGGGCGUAAAGGGCGCGUAGGCGGCCCGGUAAGUCUGGAGUGAAAGUCCUGUUUUUAAGAUGGGAAUUGCUUUGGAUACUGUCGGGCUUGAGUGCAGGAGAGGUAAGUGGAAUUCCCAGUGUAGCGGUGAAAUGCGUAGAGAUUGGGAGGAACACCAGUGGCGAAGGCGACUUACUGGACUGUAACUGACGCUGAGGCGCGAAAGUGUGGGGAGCAAACAGGAUUAGAUACCCUGGUAGUCCACACUGUAAACGAUGAAUGCUAGGUGUAGGGGGUAUCGACCCCUUCUGUGCCGCAGUCAACACAAUAAGCAUUCCGCCUGGGGAGUACUGCCGCAAGGUUGAAACUCAAAUGAAUUGACGGGG